AUGAGUAACAUUUUGAAACAAUCUAUUUACACGGCUCUGAACUUCCAUGUUAUUGGACAGCUGCGACAACGAUGUGGUAUUCAGUUCCCUAGACUCUAUCUACUAACCUUUAAUUCAGAUUUCACUGUCGCCAAAGUUCUGUCUGAUAAUAUGAGUUUGAUUAGAUUUAGAAGAGUUUUAUGGGGAGACACGGCUGAUAUGUGGUAUGAGCUCAAAAAUCUAUGCAGUAAAGUAGUUUUAAACGAUCAAGAGGAUAGAUGUAGUUGGCUGCUAACUAAAUCUGGUAGAUUCACGGUUAGAUCUUUGUAUCUUGCUUUAAAAACGGAUCAGGCUGCCUGGCCUCAUAGGAAAUUGUGA
RNAcentral lists this ribosomal RNA (357 nucleotides) under Triticum aestivum (bread wheat). Its description in RNAcentral is "partial small subunit ribosomal RNA". The record is from RNAcentral. Lineage: Eukaryota; Viridiplantae; Streptophyta; Magnoliopsida; Poales; Poaceae.